CUUAGAAGACAGCGCUAUACGAUUUGAUAGGUCGGACACAUUUAAUGUGAUUCGUGUCAUCAGCCAAAUAGAAAACUCCCUUAGCCAAAUGAAGUUGUAUUUUUACCUCAAGUCGGUUGUUCUACAUCAGAAGACACCAAGAAAAUAGCAAUUAUCGGGAUCUUAAGUGUUUUGAUGGAAUCAUAUCCAUCGGAGAGCUACGAUGAAACCAACACCGUUCCUUUGAAUUUGUUAAGGAGAGAUGCUGCCAUGGGAUUAAGUGGGUCUGGCUGGGCAGUUAAAAGUGACGCACACUUG
This is a long non-coding RNA of Stomoxys calcitrans (stable fly), 297 nucleotides long. RefSeq lists it as uncharacterized. The transcript is spliced from 3 exons. The record is from RefSeq and is a predicted model, not a curated record. Lineage: Eukaryota; Metazoa; Arthropoda; Insecta; Diptera; Muscidae.